AAUCUAAAUCCAUGCAGAAAAUUAAAUCUCCCAAGUCUUCUUUUAUUGUCAUGAUAGAAUUGUAUCUUGAUGUUCAACAUUCCACUUGACUUUAUUAUAGAUCUAGAGUAAAAUGAAGCACAGACAGAAAAUGUAUCAUAUUUUGCUCCAUCGAUGGUUGUUUUUAACAGAUGUUUAACAAAGGCUCUGCUCAAGCAUUGAAGAUCUGUUAUGACAGUCAAACCUUCAUAUCGUCCUUUUGCCUCAUCACUCACUAUGGUUUCAGAAACCAGGAAAACCCAUCAGGAGCACUGUGCCCAAACUCUGAGAUGGAUGAACAGUGAGUGUGUCUUGAAGCCGGCCCCUCCAGUGUGGUGUGGCUGUCCUCAAACUCUUCCCACCAAGGGCCUUUGGAACUGAGAAGUGGCUGAGUCUACGCAAGGGUGUAAAACGGCUCCAAGUGCAAGGAGAGGAGAAGUGCCGUGGCCGGGAACCAGGGGCUUGAUGAAAUAGGUCCCUGCAAUAUUGAUUGUGAGCCUCUUUCACCAUCUUGGCAAGGGGAUAUUGGAUACAUGCAUCGUGCAAGACGGAUGCCAGCUCAUCUCAUGUACACCCAGAAGCUGUGCCAUCAACGUCAGGCGUG
This is a non-coding RNA of Delphinapterus leucas (beluga whale), 622 nucleotides long. The record is from RefSeq and is a predicted model, not a curated record. Lineage: Eukaryota; Metazoa; Chordata; Mammalia; Artiodactyla; Monodontidae.